RNAcentral lists this ribosomal RNA (481 nucleotides) under uncultured bacterium. RNAcentral's name for it is "partial 16S ribosomal RNA". It matches the Rfam family "Bacterial small subunit ribosomal RNA", at positions 29 to 507 of the family's 1533-position model. The record is from RNAcentral.
AUUGAACGCUGGCGGCAUGCCUUACACAUGCAAGUCGAACGGUAACGCGGGGCAACCUGGCGACGAGUGGCGAACGGGUGAGUAAUGCAUCGGAACGUGCCCAGAAGUGGGGGAUAGCCCGGCGAAAGCCGGAUUAAUACCGCAUGAGACCUGAGGGUGAAAGCGGGGAUCGCAAGACCUCGCGCUUUUGGAGCGGCCGAUGUCAGAUUAGCUAGUUGGUGGGGUAAAGGCCUACCAAGGCGACGAUCUGUAGCUGGUCUGAGAGGACGACCAGCCACACUGGGACUGAGACACGGCCCAGACUCCUACGGGAGGCAGCAGUGGGGAAUUUUGGACAAUGGGCGCAAGCCUGAUCCAGCCAUGCCGCGUGCGGGAAGAAGGCCUUCGGGUUGUAAACCGCUUUUGUCAGGGAAGAAACGCUCUGGGCUAAUACCCUGGGGUAAUGACGGUACCUGAAGAAUAAGCACCGGCUAACUACGUG